RNAcentral lists this ribosomal RNA (754 nucleotides) under uncultured bacterium. Its description in RNAcentral is "bacterial SSU rRNA". It matches the Rfam family "Bacterial small subunit ribosomal RNA", at positions 1 to 754 of the family's 1533-position model. The record is from RNAcentral.
CGAUUAGGGUUCGAUUCUGGCUCAGGAUGAACGCUGGCGGCGUGCUUAACACAUGCAAGUCGAACGGAGCUAUGACACGGAGUCUUCGGAUGAAGUGCUGUAGCUUAGUGGCGGACGGGUGAGUAACACGUGAGCAACCUACCUUUUGCAGGGGAAUAACUCUGGGAAACCAGAGCUAAUACCGCAUGCCGUGCGCUUGGGGCAUCCCAGGUGCAUGAAAGGAGCAAUCCGGCAGAAGAUGGGCUCGCGUCCGAUUAGGUAGUUGGAGAGGUAAUGGCUCACCAAGGCAACGAUUGGUAGCCGAACUGAGAGGUUGAUCGGCCGCAUUGGGACUGAGACACGGCCCAGACUCCUACGGGAGGCAGCAGUGGGGAAUAUUGCGCAAUGGAGGGAACUCUGACGCAGCAACGCCGCGUGAAGGAUGGAAGGCCCUCGGGUUGUAAACUUCUUUAGACAGGGAAGAAAGAAAUGACAUUACCUGUAGAAUAAGCCACGGCUAACUACGUGCCAGCAGCCGCGGUAAUACGUAGGUGGCGAGCGUUAUCCGGAAUUACUGGGUGUAAAGGGCGCGUAGGCGGGUAUGCAAGUUGGAUGUGAAAUUCCGGGGCUUAACUCCGGAUUGUCAUCUAAAACUGUGUAUCUUGAGUGUCAGAGGGGAAAGUGGAAUUCCUAGUGGAGUGGUAAAAUGCGUAGAUAUUAGGAGGAACAUCGGUGGCGAAGGCGACUUUCUGGCUGACAACUGACGCUGAGGCGC